UUAAAGAUAGUGAUAAGAAAGAGUAGUUUUAGAUAUACUUUUUAGAGAGCUGAAGUUUGGUGUGAUUCAGUAAGUAUACUUAAAUGAAGCAGUCUUUGAAUUUCAUACUGAGAACUAAGAAUAGAUAUUCUUAAUUAGGUUAUGACGUGUUCCUUACGUUACAAAGGAUAGAAUGUUUAGUUGACAUUCUUACUGAGUGAAUAGCAUACGUGCUAUUUAUUAGGGUGGUACCGCGAAGUAGUUCCUUCGUCCCUUGU
RNAcentral lists this non-coding RNA (257 nucleotides) under Clostridium butyricum. RNAcentral's name for it is "T-box sequence". It matches the Rfam family "T-box leader". From Rfam's summary of the family: Uncharged tRNA acts as the effector for transcription antitermination of genes in the T-box leader family. T-boxes are found upstream of many aminoacyl-tRNA synthetase genes and some amino acid biosynthetic genes usually in Gram-positive bacteria. Lineage: Bacteria; Bacillati; Bacillota; Clostridia; Eubacteriales; Clostridiaceae. The record is from RNAcentral.